This is a long non-coding RNA of Equus caballus (horse), 5082 nucleotides long. The record is from Ensembl. Lineage: Eukaryota; Metazoa; Chordata; Mammalia; Perissodactyla; Equidae.
GGGCCUGUGAGCAGGAGGGGGACCAGGCGGAGCUCCACGCCUCCGUGAGGUUAACCCCUUGGCAGAAGGCAGAAUGGAAGAGAGACUGACCACUGGUGGCUGCAGAUGCUCUGGUUACUAACAGCCACAAGUCAAGUCGACGUGAUCUGGAAGCCAGGAUCAGGUUGUCCUUCCAAACAGCAGUGUCUGCCGACAGUAAACUUCGGAUCAAAGCAGCAGGGCAAAAUGAACUGCCUCAGCCCCAUGGGUCACCGAAAUGAAACAGGAAAAGACAAAUAAAGGAAAAAGAAACAGCCUUCUCAGGCGAGUGGCAAAGGCAGCAGGACAGUGGAGGGACUGUCACGUGCAUGCCACGCCCUCCCCACAGGCUGUGUGUCGGCUCCGUCACAGCAGCUGCUGCCAGGAGCAUAGAGGAAAAUAGUGUCCAUGCUGGCUUUUUAUAACAGACCUGAGUAGUGAAUAGAGACUGCAAAGAAUGGGGCCAGGGCCACCAAAUAUUCUUCCCGGCCUUGGAGACCCCACCAUGCCAGGGCCUGGGCCGUUCAGUGCUUCACUGUUUACCAAGAUCCAGAGGAUGUGGCCCCUGCAGGGACAAUGAGGAAGAGCCAGUGAUUAGAAAGAAAAGAACUCCAGAUGGAGAGCUUCACGUUGUCGGCAGAUUUAGAAAAAGCCCCUGGAAUCCGCACGGGUGGUACAGCCGGGUGCAGACUGACAAGCGAGGAAUCUUCCAUCUCAUCGCCUCAAUUUCAGGCUUCAGAGAUGCCCGGCUCUGCUGUUCAAAGAGUUUUAUUAAAAAUUUGUGAGGAGGGAAAAGAAGUCUGUGCAGGCCUGUCUGGUGCCAUUACGUCUGACACAGCACACGGAGCCGCGGACCGCCCGGGACAGCCACCGCAGGGGGGUGCACAGCAGAGGCCAUGGGAGCCCCCGGGGAAUGGUCCCAGAUGCUCUAGUCUGGUGGGGUCCCUCCAGAAUCGUGAGUCUCCAUAUGUGACCCAGUGUAUACUUCCAGUCCUUAGACCACCAGCAUUCCAGUCAGAAGACAAACACCCACGGAUCCCAACGUUGAACUUGUCCCCUCGGUAUAACUUCUGCUACUGCUCCUCUCAUGAGCAAAACUCCCUUCUCUGAUCAUUUUCUCUGUAAACCUAGAUCGAGCGACACACUGCCAGCAGCUCCUCUGCAGCUAUGAAGUGUGGCAUGAAUCCAGCCUUCCCUGAAGCGGGGCGCUGCCACGCGGAUUGCAAUCUAGACAACGUCUGGAUCCCCCACAUUCUGGGCACAGACCUCACAAGACCCUUAAAGGCAGGGAUUCGCCUGACGGGCAGCCUGGCUGGUGUGCUCCAUAAGAAGGAGGGCUGGGUCCCCGGAAGGGAGUCAGUGCAGCCAGACAAGCUGCCUUAUCCCAUGCAGAUUUUUCUGGUUGCCAGGAGAGGUCUCCAGCCUGGAGUGGCCCUGCUGAAAGACACCCAGUGGAGCUCCGUGAAGGUUUGGGAUGAAUGAGGACGUGGGAGGGAGCGUACCGCGUAGCAGCAGCACAGAAGGAGCGUAGGUAGGCUGUAAACAGCCCCAGAUGGGCAUCUGGGUUCGGGCUCGGCUCAGCCUUUCUCAACCCGAGAUAAAGCUUGGGAUCAACUGAGAGCCUUUAAAAAAUAUUGAUGCCUGGGUACAACGUCCAGAACAAUUAAAAUAGGAUCAAAUUAGGAUCUCUGCCAUCGCCUAAAAGUCCUAGGACAAUGUGUAAGGUUAGAAAAAGUUUGGGAACAACGUAAGUGUGGAAAAUGCGAGGCUAAUGUGGAGGAUGAGUUUCACUGGUCACCCUGGCCGCCCAAUCACUCUUGGAGAGGUGGGAUGGCCAAAGAGGAAGGUGGAGCUAAGGUGACACAGGAGACGGAGGGCCACCUCCACUGCUCAGGCCCAGUGCUCUGGCCACUGCUCAAGGGCAGACUGAGGCCUGAGUCCAGAGCUGCCCCGGGGUCUUGGGGUCUUUGGAAAUGCGGACCAGUAGCCGGGGUGGAGAAUCUGACUCACUUAUCUAACCCACGGCCCCAAGCAUCUACCUUUGAUCCUUCUUUUUUUUUGAGGAAGAUUAGCCCUGAGAUAACUACUGCCAGUCCUCCUCUUUUUGCUGAGGAAGACUGGCCCUGAGCUAACAUCCGUGCCCAUCUUCCUCUACUUUAUAUGUGGGAAGCCUGACACAGCAUGGCUUUUGCCAAGUGGUGCCAUGUCCGCACCCGGGAUCCGAACCGGCAAACCCCGGGCUGCCGAGAAGCAGAAUGUGCCCACUUAACUGCUGCGCCACCAGGCCAGCCCCUAACUUUGAUCCUUUGUUAGGAUCGCACCAAAAGACACCAAAGACAAAAAGAUUCCUCCUUCCCUCUGUCAGAGCCCUUCCACCUUAUCUGCCUUGUCCCUGCUCAGCCUACUUCCCCUGCUCAGAGGGGAAAGGAGGGCAGCCCUGUUGUCUGGUAUGCUAGGAGGCCGUGUUACACUUGGCAAUGGUCCUGAUUUUUACUUGCAGCAUCACUGCCCCAUCCAGUGGGGUGGGGCAGCACGCUCCCUGUACCGCUGUAGAUGGUGACCCUGAGAAGGCCAAGACCAGACAGGCGUGCCACUGACACAGCAGUGCAAAUGACUGAAUACACACACACACACGCACACGCACAUGCACAGGGCAGUAAGCCACCAGCAGACAAAGAAAGGAAAAUACCAGCGAUAACAAAGCAGGAGAGUGACCCACGUUAACCCAGACAGUGCUCAAACGGCUCCACUAAACUGUGAUUUUCGUUGCUGCUUCUUAGCCCCAGAAAUUAUGCUUUCCUUUGAAGAGCUGAUGUAGCACUCUAAAUGAUACAUUCAGUACGAGAAGUCCGUGUUCUGUUUCCCCGCAGGAUGUAAUCGAGACUGGAUACAUGGCCUGGUGUCUAAUUCUCCAGUUACAUAAUUAGUAACUGCACAUCAGGCAAAAAAAAAAAAAAAAAAAAACCCAGCCCUGAGAGAGCAUCUCAGAGGAGGCACAGCUGAGGCGGUUCUCAAAUUCCUCAGUGCUCAGGCUUCUUAGCCCCCAGUCAUUAUUGUUUGUUGGUUUCUUCUUCUGUUGUCAUAGCCAUUAGUACUAUCACGAUGCGAUCACUGUUGAGAGAAUGUUGCUCUAGAAAUCUGAGGACUGGAGAGCAGGAGGGAGAAGGGUAUGGCCUUGGCAGCAUCUCAGAACCACAGUUCUGGAUCUCCCAGAAGCCUCCAGGGGGCGCCUUCCAGCUCGGAGUCUCCUGAGACCCCAAGCAUGUCACAAUGCACUCUUGGUGAACGCCCCCGCGGAGGGCAGGGCAGCCUAAAGGAGAGGAGUCACAGGGCCUUAGCCAGGAGGCUCCAGGUCUGUAAUGGGGUAAAUCGACUAGUUCCCUUUUCUUUUCCUUUCGGUUCUUCAGUGACAUAAUUAUUAUUUCUUAUCCACAGGCUCAAGAAUCUUCUCCCAGAACAUGUAAUCUUACAGUUCACUUAAUAGCGCAUACCUUAGGCCUCUCAUCUUCCUAAGAGGUUGGUUUCAGCUCACUCACCACGUGCGGAGACGCUCGAGGCCUGCUCCACGGCAGAUCAUACUUAGGGUCUGACUUGGGCAACAAACGCUGUCAGGGCCUUUUCAGAAUUGUAUUUCCUAACAGAGAGAAGUUCCUCCUUCGGUGAAAGGCAUCGCGGCAGAGCCAAUGGUUGAGGGGGACCCGUUGUUUUCUUAGGGGGCAUUUUAUCUCCUCUCUGGAAAGUAUCGCAGAGCUCCCCAUCAGAGUGAUCGUGCCUCCCCACCUCUCCUUCUCCCUCACCCCAGACACAGACACACACACGCACAUGCACACACACUUCCAAGCCCCUUCACUGACGGGGAUGUCCUUUUUCUUUAACAUACACAGAAGAUGAGAAUAGUGUCAACAUCCACUGACGUGUAUUUUAAAGUUUGAGGAGCGGCGUUGGCAGGGGCAACCACAGCCAACAGUCCACAUCGAGGGCGCACAGCUCUGCCUCCAAUGUGGGAAUCCAGGCCGCUUCAAAUAUUUCCCCAAUACCUCUUGGAGCCAAAUGUUCAGCCCCUGCACCUAAGGGGCAAACGCUGCAGCCCUCGCCUUGGGGAGCUGGUUUUAAAGGCCCUCCCCACUAGCCCCUUUACAAGAGAAGAUCAACCCUUCCCAGAUGUCUGGGUUACUUCUAGGUCAGGCUCUGAGAUUUGUGGCUGUGCACAGUCAAAGCUGACAUUCCGUUCCACCGUUGUGUCAUUGCGUGUAGUCCAGCACUAACGAUAAUUAACACCUAAUAGAACCAAACAAUGUACAAGUUGCUUUUACAUCCGUUGUGUCCAACGUAACACGAGCAACGGAUAAAUAUAAAAUUACAUGACUUUUAAGAGAUUAAAAUGGUCUGUCGAUGCUAAGGAAAAGGAUUAUCAAAAAACGAGGCAGCAGGUUCCAAAUGGAGUCAUUCACCCCGUGACAGCAAGCCAAGACUUAAUUGCAGUUUCCACCCCUCCCAGAAAUGUGACCUUGAAACAGUCAAUCUGAAGUUUCCUGAUCAGCACUAGGGAGGCCAUCUGCAGGGUAAAACCCCUGCUGUUUCCUUCUGCCCAGAAGAAGGUGUCGGCCUAAAUAGCCCUUUCUUCUCUUUUUCUAAUGACUUCCGUGCCCCACCCUCCUUCUUAUGAAAGCCUUCCAUGUUGUACUGCUCUCUACCUGCUGGAUGGGCUGCUGCCCGAUUCAUGAAUCACUUAAUAAAGCCAAUUAGAUCUUUAGAUUCACUCAGCUGAAUUUUGCUUUUUAACAAGAUGAUUGGAACUCUCCCUGGGUGGCAUCCAGUGAGCUGCACUUUCCAGAAGAAAUUUCCAAACGUCUGUACUUUAGACAACGUUCCUUCCAGAUUUUCCAAAACUGUUCCAAUUUCUGUUGAUAUGCCCUCUUGUUUCCACAAAUAUCCUCAUACUUGUCAUGCUGGGUAGCAGGUAAUUCUGGUCAGCAUAAUUAAAACUCACUACAAUUGUUGGUGCAUAUCCAGGCCUCAUAAACAUGGAAAGGUCCUAGGUCACCCUCAAUUUUUGAGGCUACA